ACGGACACAUCAUGUUGAAACACCGGAUCCCCCCUACGAUCACCGAAGUUAAGCAACAUCGAGCCUGUUCAGUAUCUAGUUGGGUGAUCUCUUGGGAAUACC
This is a non-coding RNA of Acanthosepion pharaonis, 102 nucleotides long. The record is from the annotation of a GenBank genome assembly. NCBI's taxonomy places the organism in Eukaryota, Metazoa, Mollusca, Cephalopoda, Sepiida, Sepiidae.